RNAcentral lists this transfer RNA (83 nucleotides) under bacterium. RNAcentral's name for it is "tRNA-Tyr". It matches the Rfam family "tRNA". Rfam says of the family: Transfer RNA (tRNA) molecules are approximately 80 nucleotides in length. Their secondary structure includes four short double-helical elements and three loops (D, anti-codon, and T loops). The record is from RNAcentral.
GGGUACGUCGCAUAGCGGCAAUUGCUCCUCGCUGUAGACGAGGCGUCCUCUGGACUUCGGGGGUUCGAGUCCCUCCGUACCCA